AGAACGAACGCUGGCGGCAUGCCUAACACAUGCAAGUCGAACGAACCCUUCGGGGUUAGUGGCGCACGGGUGCGUAACGCGUGGGAACCUACCAUCAGGUUCGGAAUAACAGUUAGAAAUGACUGCUAAUACCGGAUAAUGUCUUCGGACCAAAGAUUUAUCGCCUUUUGAUGGGCCCGCGUUGGAUUAGCUAGUUGGUAAGGUAAAAGCUUACCAAGCGACGAUCCAUAGCUGGUCUGAGAGGAUGAUCAGCCACACU
Molecule: ribosomal RNA, 259 nt
Filed under: uncultured soil bacterium
Lineage: Bacteria
Description: partial 16S ribosomal RNA
Rfam family: Bacterial small subunit ribosomal RNA
Source: RNAcentral